Molecule: long non-coding RNA, 6642 nt
Filed under: Sus scrofa (pig)
Lineage: Eukaryota; Metazoa; Chordata; Mammalia; Artiodactyla; Suidae
Description: lncRNA (ENSSSCG00035075418.1)
Source: RNAcentral
UAAACAUCUAAGUUUAAAAAACUAAACAUCCUUUACAAGAAUUUUUUUAAAAAAAUAGCAAAAUGAACCCAAAUAAAAUAGAAAUAGGCAAUAAUAAAUGUGAUAGCACAAAUUCAUAAAAUAGAAUACAAACACACAAUAAAGAGACUCAGCAAAGCCACAUAUAGUUCUUUACAGAAGAAAAAAUAAAAUCGAUAAGGCUUUGGAGUGAUUGAUCAAGUAAACAGAAGAAAAGGCACACAAAUUAAUAUCAGGCUUGCAAUUAAAGCCUGUAGUAGAUUAUUAGAAGAUACAGUAAACAGAAAAAUCACUAUGACCAGCAGUAAGUAAAAAGUUAAUAAAACUCAUGGCAAACUAGAAAAUUUAGAUGAAAUGCAAAGAUUUCUGGAAAAAUACAGCUUUUUAAUAAACGUAAGAAAUCACAAUAGUUCUGUGAUCCUCAGGAUAAUUUAAUUGAGUCAAUCUUUUAUGGAACAUUCAGGUCCAGUUGACUUCACUGUGCAGUUCUAACAUUUAAAGAAGAAAUAAAUGCAACAUUAUAUAAGAGCUUCCAAAGAUGGCUUAGCCAGGGUAAGGAUGGGAGAAGGGGGAGAAGAGCAGCCUUGGAACAAAGGUUAUACGCACAUUGUAGGCUUGUGAAGGAGGUGGGAGCGACCAGGAAUAGCUGGGGCUUGGGAGUGGGCUAGUGAGUGCCUUACCUCACAGGACUCCUCCAAAAGUUGAUGUCAUUUUGCAAUCUCGGGGGAUCACUCCCUUUCUGGAUAAGACUUCUCUUUCUAGUCCAGACAUCAGCUUUUCAGUAUGGAGCAUUUCCAGCUUCAUCCCUCAAAGCAUGAGUGGGGCUGUUCUUCAAAGGCAGCCCUGAAAGGCUAAAAAAAUUGGUAGGCUCCCUGGGGCAUGAGGAGGAAAAGGUCUUACAGCAGCUAGAACAGGAUAGAAGAUAUUAUCUUAGUAACUUAUGCUGCACGUCCUUACUAAGAUAUAUGGUCCAACAGGUCUAUUCAUCAUCUCCAACAUGCCUUAUGUUUUGUUCUUAUUUCUGAAACUUGUUUCAGAGUGAUUUCCUUGGCUUGGAGUUUCCUCUCUGUUGAUCUCACUUCCAACCAUCAUUCAAAUCUCAGCUCAAGCCAUCUUUUCCUUCUAUGCCUUCCCUGACCAGUGCAACAGAUCUUGCUUAUUUAGCAGUGCGGGAGGUUGGUGAGAGAUAUGUGUAUGCAGGGAUUAGAAGGUGUUGGAGGGAAUAAGGAGGGAGGAUGAGUAGGGCCUUUAGGGCUGGUUUUCUGAAUCAUUCUCACAUUGGGUGAUUUUAGUCUCCUUGUUUCAAGAAUGAGGUCAGUUUUCUUUGUAUCUUCCACAGUAUCUUUAUAUAACAUUGUCAUCCAAUGUACAUUUAUGGAGUAGUUUUUGAUAUCUAUUGUCAUGGUCAGAAUUUGACUACAACAGUCUUCAAAUAUUUUACUUUGGGAGCUUACUUUAUGUAUCUUAAAUGCAAAUAAAUUUUUUUUCUUAAGAUAAAUGAAUAAGAAGCCAUUUCAUCCUCAUUUAUUAUGAUGUAAUAAGAUUGUAAAUUAUUUGAGAGAAAACCCCUUAUCUGGUAUGACAUUGUUAAUUUCAUAACUGCAGUGCUGGAUACUGUUUUCCUAUGUCAGGUAAUGUCUUGCUAAUAACGUGCUUAAUACCUCCUCUCAAUAUUUCUGACUUCAUCCUCCUUGUAAUAUUCAAAGAAUAUAAAUAAAAUAUUUUAAAAAUGUAUUAUUAAGAUUGACAUAUGUUCAAAUGUGUCAGAUGCCAUAUAACACAGAUUUCCCAACCAUUUGUUCAAUAAUUACCAUUGGAACUAGGCAUAUAACUUAGUGAGCUCAAUAAACAAAAACAGUAUCAUAUAUUCAUUGUAUCCAUUCAACCAGGCAUAAUUAGACAUUGAAGAUAAAGGUCAAUAAAAUAUACAUGCAUCCUCCUCUCUUGAGACCCAUGCUAGUUGAGAAAGAAACACAUAUAAGGAAUCACACUAUUGAUUAUUAGUUACAAAUGUGGCAGUUAUUGUCAAGGAGAAUUAUUAAGUACUAGGAGAGGAUGUCAUAGCGGGACUUCCAGGGGUCUCCUGUGGAGAUUGGGGAGGGCCGUGUCUUUUGUUCUUUUUCCUGAGAGUCAGAAAUCAGAGUUUGGAAUAAACAAAUGAAGCUGCUGUUCAACUGCAAAAAUAGAUAUAAAAGAACACGCUCUUGACUUUCAGAAUUCUAUCACUGAAGAAUGAUAGCUGUAGAACAACCUUUGAAAGUUAAAUGAACAGUAUAGGGCAUGAUUUAGGUAUUUAGCAAUGUGCUUUAAAAGUCAUAGCAACAGUCUAAAAUGGAUAGUUCAUCCAUAUUGAUAGUACCUCUUUUUCAAGUACCAAAAAUCAAGGGUGAAUAUAUAGAAAUAUGGUUUGGGAGAAAUCAUCUGUUCUGACUCAUUACUGCUUGAAAUCAAACUGAGGCAGAUAUUUCCAUCAUAGGAAGAAGCAUUGUCAAGUGUUUAGACCAAUAUAUCCCAAACAUUGUAUCACUUCUCCUCCACAGUUGAUUUUGCUCACUGAUAUUUUGAUUUUAUAGCAGAAAAAAAAAUUCACAAAGUCCAACAUUUGUUAUAAAGGAAUUGUUUGUAUCUGUCCAGCCAGAAGAUUCAUGAUGUCUUCCUUGACGGGAUGCUGAAGAGUCAUAUACUGUGAGUCUCCAUGUGCAGUAAAAGUAUGUCUUUGGAGAAAACUUAUUUGGAAACUUAAAAAAAAAAAAAAGUCUAUUAGUUUCCUGUGGCUGUUGUACCACAAACUUGAUGUGGUUUCUAGUUCUAGCUGAAAAUAACACACGUAUAUCUUCUUUCAGUUUUGGCGAUCAGACACCCAAAGUCAGCUUCACUUGCCAUGUCCAGUUUCAAGAGCUGCAUUUCUUGCUUGCCUUUACUCGGGUCACCUUCUUCCAUCUUCAAGGCUUAGCAUCAUUAAAACUCUGUCUGCUCCAUCACCACAUCACUUUCUCCUCUUCCCUGUCUGUCCGAAAUUUUCUUCUGCCUCUUAUAGGAACGCUUAUGAGGGCAAUUAGGUCCCGUCCAGAUAACCCAGGGUCCUUGUUUUAUCUCAGAAAUCUUUAGUUUAAUCACAUCUGCAAAGUCACUUUUUGCCACAUAAGGUAACAUCUACAAGUCCCAGGGAUUAGAACAUGACUAUUUUUUUGGUGAGGAAUGGGGUGAGUGGGGAGGGUAUUUUUCAGCCAAAUACAUUGUAUCUCUUUACUGCCAUGUUUUUAUGCUUAUAGCUUUGUGAGCUGCCCAAAUGCUUAGGUUUUACUUCCCCAUUUGGUAAUAGAUUUUAAAUUAUUUUUUCAACAUUUUCUUUUGUUUUACUGAACUCCCUAAUAAAGAGUUUCUUCUUAUUUCCUCUUGGACAAAGAUUAACUGUUCACUCUUUUACCAAUUGAAAAACCAUGAUAGUCACUCAUCAUGUUGUCGUUUAUAAAAUGGAAUUUACAGCUAUGGUUUUCAUUAGCUCCUACUAUAAAGCUACUUCAAGACCAAGUGCUGUAUUUUCUCUUCUCCCUGGGGGAGACUUGAUCCUUUUGUCAGUUAGUGAAUCAUGUCUACCUAUUUGCUUGAAAGUAUUGAAAUAGCUGUAUCAAGAGUAAGGAAAACAAGGUUAAAAUAUCCAUGCCAAACCAAUGUUAUACUACUUUCCAACACGAAAACAAUUAUGUCUGUAUUUUUAGAAGCAACUUUGAUUCCAUCAUCUUAUAAGUAUCCUUGAUGUGUCCAACCAAAACUGUGAACUAGAAUGAAAUUAUUAUUCUGCAACAGGCAAUUAGUGAGGCAAGUUGCACAGAGCAGACAGUGGCUUGGCAGCUGAGUAAAAUUUUCAGUUUUCCCCCCAUCAAAAUGUGCAUCUGUUGACAUGUAUUCAGUUUAAGAUAUGGAAAAUCUAACUCAAAUAUGCAAGAAUACUAAGAAUUUUUUUUUUCAGUAAUUAUACACAGGUCCAGAUGUUGAGCAGCUUCCAGGCUUGAUUAACUUAGUGACUCAAAGAUAUUUCUAGGAUCCAGUUUCUGUCUGCUUCUCUGUUUUGCCUUCUAUGUAUUAUCUUCCAUUUAUAACCAAAUUCAGGCUACUAGGGCAACACUAAACACAACAUUGAGAAUAGGUAUAUACCAUUGUCCCUCAUGAGCUGGUACAAAGCCAGAUCUGGCACACCAUCUGUUGAAUCCAUAGGGAAAGAAUUCAGGCAUCUUUGGAUUUUUUCAUCCUGAUACAGAGGUCAUUAACCACUAAGUGAUUUUUAUUUAUGCUCUUAUUUUCACUUUAAGAAGCAGUGGAAAUUCUAGGUUGUGGAAUUAAGGGAAAUUUCUUUUUUCUUUAUUUUCAAGGAGUAUCAGGGUUAGAUUUAUUCUUUCAACUACAAUAUCAACAGAAAAAUUUACAUCAGAGAUCUAACACUAUCAUUUCCAACUAACAGGCAGUUGGCCCUAAAAUUCACAUGGCAGUGCCCAAAUGCAUCUUGAUGUUCAAAUAGUGAAUGUUUACCAAUUCUUUGCUGCUCUCUGUAUACAUUCUAGGGCUUUAAAACAUUUCUGCCCUGUCUGGGUAUCUCUAUUUUCCUUUCCACUACUCAAUUCCACUAAUUUUGGCUUUCUUUUCAGAAGCAGGAGAGAAAGAUUAACUAUUUAAUCGUUCAAGAGGUAGUUGAUAUAUAUCUUGUGUUUAAGGACGUAUUGCUGUUUAAAAAAUUUUCCCCACAUUUACUGGAUUAAAAGAGCAUACUUAUUGUCUCAGAGUAUCUGUGACUCAGGGAUCCAGACUUAGCUCAGAAGGAUGCCUCAAAAUCAGACUCUUUUACGCUGCAGGAUUUACUUCCCAGCUCACAUGGUUAUCAGCAGUGUUCCGUGUCUUGCAGGUUGUUGGUCAGAGUUCCAUGAUAGUUAUUGGUUUCUUGCUGCAUGGACUUUCCCAAUAAGACGUCCUGCUUCAUCAAAGCCCCAAGUGGAGACAGUCUGCAAACAAGGUAGUAGUCUCUAUCUCAUGCAGUGUGCUCAUGGAAGUGGCAGACCAUCCUUUUGCCUAUUUUGGUUAAAGCCAAGUCGCUAGGAGAGGGGAUUACACAAAGGCAUGGCUAUGAUGGUUUGUUCCUUAUUAAUUAUUAUUAAUGAACAUGUUUACUGCAUUCAUAUAGUGCAAAGGAAUUUAUAAGGCAUGUCAAAUAACUAUAUGAGAUACAGGGACUGUGGUUAGAUUUUAGAGAUUUCCCAUGAGACCAAAAACUAGGACAAAGUCUGUCAUAUUCACAAAAUUCUGUCCUUUAGUACUUCUUCUUUGUAAAAUAUAUUUGUAAUCUUUUUUUUUUUAGGGCCAGACCCAUGACAUAUGGAAGUUCCCAGGCUAGGGGUCAACUUUGAGCUACAGCUGCAGACCUACAGCACAGCCACAGCAAUACCACAUCUAAGCCACGUCUGCAACCUAUACCACAGCUCAUGGCAAUGUCAGAUCCCUGACGCACUGAGAAAAGCCAGGGAUCCAACCGGCAUUUUCAUGGAUACUAGUCAGACUCGCUUCCACUGCAUUGCAGUGGGAACUCCUGUAGUCUUUGAUGGUAGAGAAAAAAGUAGAAAAAGCAGUAGUGAAAUUUUUAUUGCAACUAUAUCCAGGAGAGCUUGGUCAUCAGUUUCCUUUGUCACUCUGGCCACGGAAGGACAGAUGGAAAUCUGAAACACAGGAUGUGCCUUGUGGUAAGCCUUUCUGCACUCUGCCUAUCACACCCUCUGCCUGCUCCACGUUCUCAAUCUCACCCUCUGUCUCUCUCACAGUUGGAUGAGGAAGGCAGCUUUUAUACUCAUUGGCACACUAUCUGAAAUUCUCCAAAACCAAGACACUGGAAACUUCUCCUCUUGGAUUCCAAGCUUUUUGGCACCAGUCAAUUUGCCCUAAAGAAUUCUUGCAGAAAAAUACAGUCAAGCAGUAUUAAUGCUUUCCCAAAUACUUUAAAAUGUGUUCAGAAACCAUCACAGAGAAGCAAACAAGCAAAAGUAUAAGCUUGUAAGGGCAAAAUCAACCAUUUUUUUGAAAGAGACCUUUGACUUUAUCCUUACCUGUAUUUACAGAAACUGAGAGUUUAAAAGGAGUUAUAAUUUCAGUAUGUAAUCAAGGACAAAGGGGCCUGGCAGUGUCCAGGAGUUCACCUCCCCCCCACACUAGAGACAAAAGUUCUGUUCCUUACUAAAUACGUGACUUUGAAAAAGUGACUUCACAUCUCUCAACUUCAAGCCCUUUCCCUACCUGGUUUCCAAAAUGAAAAUGCAAACUUUCACUGUGGUCGUGUGGUUCAAGUGAUUUUAAGUCCUCGGACGCACAGAAUAAAGUGCUUUAGGAGUUCCCGUUGUGGCUUUGCAGAAAUGAGCCAACUAUAUCCGUGAGGAUGCAGGUUAGACCCCUGGCUUCACUCACUGGGUUAAGGAUCCAGCGUUACCAUGAGCUAUGGUGUAGAUCACAGAUGCAGCUCAGGUGCCAUGUUGCUGUGGCUGUGGUGUAGGCUGGUGCAGCUCCACUUUGACCCCUUGCCUGGGAACUUCCAUCUGCCACGGGUGCAACCCUAAAAAGACAAAAAAAAAAAAAAAAAAAAAAAAAAGU